CAUGUGAACUGCAGAAGGACCCCAAGAAGAGAAUGCUACCUAGGCAACACCUACUGAGAGCGUGACUGAACUUUAGAAGAAUGGCAUCCAUUGACAGCAACAGGAAGAGAUGGCUACAUAUUUGGGACUAUGAAGAAACUGAAGUAAUCAAGGUGAAGUGACCUGCCCCGUGUCAGAAAGCUAUUUUUCGAAACUUCACCAGUGGGGAGUUGGUGGAAGUCAAAGUUUCCUGGGCCUAAAGAGAGAUGUAUCUCUGGAAAUAUUUUCAUCAUGAAGCUUUUCCUGAACCCUGAACCUGGAAGUAUUCUCCUUCCCAAACUACCAUGUAUUUAGCAACUUAUAUGUAAGUAAAAUGUAAUUGUAUUUUGCAGUCAUAUAUUUAUGUA
This is a long non-coding RNA of Sarcophilus harrisii (Tasmanian devil), 386 nucleotides long. RefSeq lists it as uncharacterized. The transcript has 4 exons. NCBI's taxonomy places the organism in Eukaryota, Metazoa, Chordata, Mammalia, Dasyuromorphia, Dasyuridae. The record is from RefSeq and is a predicted model, not a curated record.